UAGCGGUGGGAUAAAUCGUCUUGCACGUUCCGCAUUCAACCAAAACAGAAUCUGAACUUCGUUUCAAAGAGAAGACAUAUUCUGAAGCGUCAAUGUCAAAUGAUCGGCAGCGAGGCGAGCACAGAAGCAAAUGCAUGGACAAACGAAGCGGCCCGGGCCUUUUCUUAUUCACAACUCGGUACUAAACCGAUCGAUCGGACGAACACGAGCAGUAGUACAACAGUAGAAACAUCACACACACACUGACACGCACGAACACACACACACACUCGCUCGUGUAGACACGUACGAAGGCGCUAGCACACAUAGAUCAGGUAGUAGACGACGCGGCGCGGCGGACUGACAUCGGCCUGCUAGCUCCAGCUUACGACGACGCCCUGGUGCCGGUGCCGGUGCCGGCGCCCGCUCCGCCGGUGGCGCCGGUGUGGCCACCUCCUCCGGCGCGCGCGUCCUCCGCGCGGCUCUGGAUGGCGUGGCCGGCCUGCUGCGUCUUGUGCCCCGCGGCCGCGGCGGCAUCGGCCAUGCGCUGGCGCGCCUCCUCCACGUAGUCCGGGGUGCGCUGGAACGCCUGGCGCGCCGUGUUGGCGAGGACGGUGAGCGAGGAGAGGCCGCCCAGCCCCAGCGCGCCGGAGGUGAGGAACCCGGUGACGGCCAGGCCGAUGGUGAGCGCGGCCGGGACCAGCAUGGGGCUGAAGAGCAGGAACACGGGCGUGGCCACGGCCAGCCCCACCACGGUGCCCGCCAGCGCCAGCCCGGACAGCACCAGCAGCAGCCCGCCCAGCGGGAACAGCGUCGCCACCGUCAGCGCCUGCGACGCCGACGGCGCCUUCUCCUGGAACAUGCCCUUCAUCUGCUCGCCCAUCUGGCGCCCGUGCUGCUGCUGCCCGCCGUGGUGCCCGCCGCCGUACUGCCCGUGCUGCACCUGCACGUAGCCCCCGCGGUCCGCCAUUGCUCCUCCCUCGCUUCGCUGCGUCCGCCGGCGGUGAAGUGAGCCAAGAUCUGUCGAACUCGAGAGCUGGAGGGGACUGAACUCUGAAGUGAAGUGGGUUGAG
This 1052-nucleotide long non-coding RNA is filed under the name Triticum aestivum (bread wheat). RNAcentral's name for it is "long non-coding RNA (TAES_LNC002724)". The record is from RNAcentral. Lineage: Eukaryota; Viridiplantae; Streptophyta; Magnoliopsida; Poales; Poaceae.